This is a long non-coding RNA of Rhincodon typus (whale shark), 803 nucleotides long. RefSeq lists it as uncharacterized. The record is from RefSeq and is a predicted model, not a curated record. The transcript has 2 exons. NCBI's taxonomy places the organism in Eukaryota, Metazoa, Chordata, Chondrichthyes, Orectolobiformes, Rhincodontidae.
GAAACAAACAGGUCGAAGAGGCAGGGAUGCAGCCAGUAAAGGAGGAAGAGUGACAGUCGACAUAAUUAUGUCCAGGAGUUUUCACCCGACCCCUUAAACCACUUGAAGAGGAAUGGAUGGAUACUUUUUGUCUUUCAGAUAAGCAUACAAAUUUCUGAAUAUGCCUGCAGACGCAGUGAUGGAUAAGGCAGUCUCAACCUAUCAAGCCAUUUGUUAACAACAUUUGAAGAACUACUGUGAAAGCAUUCAGGAAUUUAAAUAUAUAAGAAUCGUCAGUGACUUUGGGGCUGUAAACAGAAUUUUGAAUUUGAAUGCAUUCAUGUAAAGACAUAUCAAAUAUCUAGAAUGAACUAUAAAAAAGGAAAAAAAAAAAUGGGUCAUCCUGUAACAAAUUAGGCCCUUAUAGAAGCCUCAACUCUAUCUGUAGAGGCAGUAAUAAAAAUUAAAGCACUUCAUAUAACCAUUCAUUAUCGGAAAUGCACCAAACGAGAAAACAAGCACUCCUGUACUGCUAGAAAGCAGUACCCAGAUUCAAGUAGGACAAUGACUGAAACCAUCCAUACCUAAACCAACCCCCCCGAUAGCCCCACUUGUGAUUGAAAAUAUAACCUAUACACUGGGUAAUGGCCUAGUCUCAGAUGAAACAGAAGCCCAAAUGUUUUUAACCCCCCAGAUAAAGAAGAAUCAUCUCUUGAUCCAGAUCAACCUGAUGCUGCCCACUCCUUGCACAAAAAAACUGUUUUUGACUCUCUGCUAACAGAUAUUCUUCAACAAAGACUCGUAGUUUAGUUGGACCAAGAAAA